Brachypodium distachyon (stiff brome) is the source of this 125-nucleotide non-coding RNA. The record is from Rfam. Lineage: Eukaryota; Viridiplantae; Streptophyta; Magnoliopsida; Poales; Poaceae.
AAUAUACUCCCUCCGGCCGAAAUUACUUGUCGAAAUAUUGCAUGUAUCUAGACGUGUUUUACACAUAUAUACAUCCGUAUUUUGACAAGUUUGAGACAAGUAAUACCGGUCGGAGGGAGUACAUC